GCCUUCGUGGUGUAGUGGUCAGCACACUGAGGUCGUAUUCCGAAGGUCCGCGGUUCGACUCCCGGCGAAGGCG
RNAcentral lists this transfer RNA (73 nucleotides) under Stegodyphus mimosarum. It matches the Rfam family "tRNA". Rfam says of the family: Transfer RNA (tRNA) molecules are approximately 80 nucleotides in length. Their secondary structure includes four short double-helical elements and three loops (D, anti-codon, and T loops). The record is from Rfam by way of RNAcentral. Lineage: Eukaryota; Metazoa; Arthropoda; Arachnida; Araneae; Eresidae.